UGAAGUGUGGACGCCAGUCUGCAUGGAGCCGGCCUUGAAAUACCACCCUUUAAUGUUUGAUGUUCUAACGUGGACCCGUGAUCCGGGUUGCGGACAGUGUCUGGUGGGUAGUUUGACUGGGGCGGUCUCCUCCUAAAGAGUAACGGAGGAGCACGAAGGUUGGCUAAUCCUGGUCGGACAUCAGGAGGUUAGUGCAAUGGCAUAAGCCAGCUUGACUGCGAGCGUGACGGCGCGAGCAGGUGCGAAAGCAGGUCAUAGUGAUCCGGUGGUUCUGAAUGGAAGGGCCAUCGCUCAACGGAUAAAAGGUACUCCGGGGAUAACAGGCUGAUACCGCCCAAGAGUUCAUAUCGACGGCGGUGUUUGGCACCUCGAUGUCGGCUCAUCACAUCCUGGGGCUGAAGUAGGUCCCAAGGGUAUGGCUGUUCGCCAUUUAAAGUGGUACGCGAGCUGGGUUUAGAACGUCGUGAGACAGUUCGGUCCCUAUCUGCCGUGGGCGCUGGAGAACUGAGGGGGGCUGCUCCUAGUACGAGAGGACCGGAGUGGACGCAUCACUGGUGUUCGGGUUGUCAUGCCAAUGGCACUGCCCGGUAGCUAAAUGCGGAAGAGAUAAGUGCUGAAAGCAUCUAAGCACGAAACUUGCCCCGAGAUGAGUUCUCCCUGACCCUUUAAGGGUCCUGAAGGAACGUUGAAGACGACGACGUUGAUAGGCCGGGUGUGUAAGCGCAGCGAUGCGUUGAGCUAACCGGUACUAAUGAACCGUGAGGCUUAACCUU
Molecule: ribosomal RNA, 773 nt
Filed under: Escherichia coli
Lineage: Bacteria; Pseudomonadati; Pseudomonadota; Gammaproteobacteria; Enterobacterales; Enterobacteriaceae
Description: partial 23S ribosomal RNA
Rfam family: Bacterial large subunit ribosomal RNA
Source: RNAcentral